AUCGCUUCUUGGCCUUUUGGCUAAGAUCAAUGUGUAGAAUCCAUUCUUAUCAGCUUAAUAUCUGAUACAGUCACUAUUUGGUGCCAUCGAUAUUAAACUGAUUUUUAGAAUGAGACGAAGUGUUAGGGGCUUGCUUCACCUUUGCCACAGGUUGGCCUGGUAUUGCAGUACUUCCAGGAUUCAGCUGAUCUCCC
Octopus bimaculoides (California two-spot octopus) is the source of this 194-nucleotide non-coding RNA. Lineage: Eukaryota; Metazoa; Mollusca; Cephalopoda; Octopoda; Octopodidae. The record is from Rfam.